UACGUAGGGUGCGAGCGUUGUCCGGAAUUAUUGGGCGUAAAGGGCUCGUAGGCGGUUUGUCGCGUCGGGUGUGAAAACCCAGGGCUUAACCCUGGGCUGGCUUUCGAUACGGGCAGACUAGAGGUAUGCAGGGGAGAACGGAAUUCCUGGUGUAGCGGUGAAAUGCGCAGAUAUCAGGAGGAACACCGGUGGCGAAGGCGGUUCUCUGGGCAUUACCUGACGCUGAGGAGCGAAAGUGUGGGGAGCGAACAGG
RNAcentral lists this ribosomal RNA (253 nucleotides) under uncultured bacterium. Its description in RNAcentral is "partial 16S ribosomal RNA". It matches the Rfam family "Bacterial small subunit ribosomal RNA", at positions 524 to 776 of the family's 1533-position model. The record is from RNAcentral.